This is a long non-coding RNA of Mastomys coucha (southern multimammate mouse), 652 nucleotides long. RefSeq lists it as uncharacterized. Lineage: Eukaryota; Metazoa; Chordata; Mammalia; Rodentia; Muridae. The transcript has 2 exons. The record is from RefSeq and is a predicted model, not a curated record.
GUGUAUGCAUGUGUGUCUGCAUGUGGGUAUGUGCUUGUGAGUACGGGUGCCUGUAGAGGCCAGAAGAGGGCCAGAGUAGCUGGAGUACAGACUGUUGGUGGUCAACUGAUAUGGAACUGAGCUCAGGUUCUCUGUAAGAGCAGUAUGUGCUCUUUACCACCCAGCCAUCUCUCCAACCUCGAAUGUGUCAUAGUAAUGGUAUAUACAAAAGUCAAACUGUGUGAUGUCUUUACUAGAUGCCGAGUGAGCAAAUGUUUGAUGAAAUCCAACCUUCGCUUUUAAACAACAACAACAACAAAAAAAAACCCUUGGCAAGCUCACACUAGACCAGACAUCUGAAGGAGCGCUGGUGCCUCCCCAAAGGUGCAAUCUAACCAGCUGCCUCACACACCUGCUACCUGACUGCAGGUGCAAUGUGACCAGCUGCCUCACACACCUGCUACCUGACUGCAGGUGCAAUCUAACCAGCUGCCUCUCACACCUGCCAUCUGACUGCAGGUGCAAUGUGACCAGCUGCCUCUCACACCUGCCACCUGACUGCAGGUACAAUCGGACCAGCUGCUUCACACACGUAUGGCCAUACCGUCCUUGCCUUGAUGAACAGUAAAUGUACCUUGGAACUGUGAGCCAAAAUAAACCCUUCCCUUCCUAA